Long non-coding RNA from Juglans microcarpa x Juglans regia, 656 nucleotides. RefSeq lists it as uncharacterized. The transcript has 2 exons. Lineage: Eukaryota; Viridiplantae; Streptophyta; Magnoliopsida; Fagales; Juglandaceae. The record is from RefSeq and is a predicted model, not a curated record.
UAACUUAUGAUUCCUACCCAUCUCUUGUAUAGAAAAUAGUAGCCUUUAAAGAGGGACAGCAAGCAAGCUUUAUAUUGUCAUGGGUUUCUUAAAUGUCGGAAUGAGGAUACUAAGAGUUGACUUAGUGCCAUGUAUGUAGCUAAAUGGGUUAAGGAAGGUACUUAAAUUCCAAUUUUGGAAUUUAAGUGAGCGCAUAAGAGUAUCGGAUAGUAAGGCUUAAUGUGGAAUGAAUUUUAAUGUGUUCAUUUCAUUUCAUUGAAUAUGAGUGUAUUUCAAGAUUCAAGGAACCUAUUUGUAAAGCAUCGAGGUAUGAACGAUGAGGCUGGGGAGCUAGGCACUGCUGAGGAGGGAGGGGCUGAUGCUUAGAAUUCCCUGUCGGUUCAAUUUUAAUGAUAAUGGUUAUGUCUUUAUGUUUUUAUGAUGGGUCCCAUGUUGGGAUGUUUUGUUAGUUUGACUUUAAUACAAUAUGUCCUUGGGUAUGAUGUAAGUACUAUGGUGGGGUGAUGGUAAUGGUGUAACUUCUACAGUGGGGUGACGCUAACCCCACAUAAGAAGGUUAAAUGCCUUUUUGUAUGUGUUAUGGGGACGGAGUCCCCUUUUUAUUGGAACUAGCGAUGUUUUAAAUGAAUGAAUGAUGGACUCUGAGAGUCCUUUGG